UCCGGACAUUUUAGGUCCCCACUAUAACCAUGCCCAUCCCCCACUCUGCUUGCACAUGUGAAAGCAUGCUGUUAGCUAACUGCUGGCUAAUGAAAAGGAGGCGUUGAAUUUAUCCACCCCUUCAGUAUUGGCCAGGCUUCCAUGAACACAUAAAGCUAUAAAACCAUUACAGGAGCAUCAGUCUGUCAACAGUAGUCAGCAUUUACAACUCCCUAAUUAGUUUCACCUACAAUAAUGAUUAGGUUUCUUCCUGCACAAUCAAAAAGGUAUGUGAAAAAGAAUUUAAGUGAGACUGCCACGCUGGUGUGCGCUCGAGUUUAGAUCGAGCGCUCCCUUUCAACAUGAACACCUGCAGAGCGGUAGCAGUGGCAGACCCACACUGUGCCUCACGAAGAGUAGACAUGCGGCGGAGAACCAAGUAAAAUGGAGAGUGAGCAGAGUUCCGGAUCUGAUGACGAAUCUAAAUGUGAAGGGAGAGCUGCGGCUCAUGAAGUGCAGCGUGCCUCCUUGGAUGAGUCUGUGUCUCCCAGGUCAGAUACUGAAGUUUCUCCAAGCAAAAUAUUGAACCCCGGAUGGCCUCCCAACCUACUCCUCACUUGAAGACAGUCAUCACAUUCAGCGUUUGAAGAAACUGACAGCUCAUCAUGAUAAAUGUGAGCGCAGUUUUGAGAAGGCUUAUGCAAUGCAGACAAAGGAGGAGCAGGACAGAACAUUAACGUUGCAUCAUCAACUGAACAUGAAGGGUCAUCAUCUGAAAGUGAAGAUACCAUCACCCUUAAUGAAACUCCACCUGAUGUGAUCCAAGAUGACAGCGUUCCUAUGCUCACAAGAACCCAAAGUGUAAUUGUAAGUUUGUCUUCAAAUGUUAAUGUAUAAUCUCAGUUAGGGUUGUCACGGUGUGAAAAUUGAACCUCACGGUUAUUGUGACCAAAAUUAUCACGGUUUUCGGUAUUAUCGCAGUAUUUUUUAAACGUGUUACAUUUUCAGACAACUAAAUAAACCCUGUAUAUCAGGAAAAUAUUGUCCUCAGUUUGUGUCUAUAUGUUGCCUAAAAUUUGUUAUUUUGUAAUUAUGUUGUUUAUUUGUUUACAUUUUUCCCCUUUAGUCUUUAAAAUACAAAUAGUUGCCCAUAACUUUUUAUUUUUUGUCUGUUGGAUGUCAUCAUUUUAAAAAAUAUUAGAUCAGAUGAUACUCAGUACUCAAGUAGCCUUCUAAUCAGAUUCUCCAAUAGCAUAUUUACCUUUAUCUAAUGUAUUAAUUAUUCCAUUGGUUGCUUCCAUUAUUGCAAGUGCUGUUGUCCUCUUUUCUCUGAAUCCGUACUGACUAUGGUUUAGUAUUUCGUGUUUAUUUAAAACGUUUUCUAGUCUGAUAUUAAAUAGUUUUUCCAGGAUUUUUGAAAAUUGAGGAAGAAGUGAUGCUGGCCUGUAGUUGUUAAAUAGAUGUUUAUUCCCUUGCUUAAAAAUUGGUAUUACUUUAGCUACUUUCAUUUUCUGAGGAAAUAAACCAGUUUGG
Nothobranchius furzeri (turquoise killifish) is the source of this 1512-nucleotide non-coding RNA. Lineage: Eukaryota; Metazoa; Chordata; Actinopteri; Cyprinodontiformes; Nothobranchiidae. The record is from RefSeq and is a predicted model, not a curated record.